UAAGGCUAAGGGUCGUGCUGCUGCUGACAAGGAUAAGGGUACAAAGUUCACUGCUGAGGAGGUCAUGCAGACUAUUGAUUAGAUUUAAAGUCAUCUUUCUUCUAUCUCUGCUGAAGAGAGGUUAUAUCAGUACGUUUUUGGUUUAUUAGGGUUUUUGACAUCUCUGAAUUUUUGGGUUUAUUUGAUGUUAUAAUUGAAUGUUGCUGAAAGUUGUUAAUUUUGGG
This 224-nucleotide unclassified non-coding RNA is filed under the name Hevea brasiliensis (rubber tree). Lineage: Eukaryota; Viridiplantae; Streptophyta; Magnoliopsida; Malpighiales; Euphorbiaceae. The record is from RNAcentral.